UCAACUAUUGUGUCCUUCAUUUUGCAAUUCAGUUAUCAAUUCACUGAUUAGUAAAUUAACCCCAUUGUCUAUUUGUAUGUAAAAUAACAGCAUUGCUGUAUACAACACCUAAUUUUUGUAGUAAAAUUUAAUUUACAAGAUACACAUUCAAAACCAAUUACCUCUCUUUUUCAAGACAAAAAGAAUACAAGUGAUAAAAUCAUUAACAGAUGGGGUUUAUUUGUAUUUCAGGACAUAAUCCGAGUGAGUCAAGUUCAUAUUGAAUACACAUGGCUUGGAAUUGGAUAAAUAGACUGAAGCGGUCUUAAAUCUCCCUGUGCAACUGACUUUAUUAGGUACUCUGCUCAGAAACCCAAGUGGAGUUUAAAAUCUUAUACAGAUCACUUUAACCUUUAUUAUAAUUCUCUAAAUGCAUCUCAUUGAUGCUUAAUUUAACAGUAAACAUUUCAAUAAAAGAAGAAAAUACACUGCAUGUCUGUUUUUUUUGUUUUUUUGUUUUUUUCUCUUUGAAUGUACUUUGCCAAUUAUGGCUGAUGACUUAUUUAUUCUCAUUAUCAUGCUGUACAUUAGGAUAUGGUGUAUGCAAAAGCAAAUAACACAAAUAUAACUAUUUGGUUGCUAUACUUAUUACAAAGAGAAUACAAGAGAGAUACACAUUUAUUUGGUGAUCAUCAGUGGGGUCAUGGCUCCAGACGGCACUGUGACACUCUACCUUUAACAAAUCUAGAGUGAGGGACUAUAUAUAUGUGCAAGCCCCUGCUAGUGUAUACAGUGAAGAAGGGGCCUGAGAGAGUUUUUUUUGUUUUUUGUUUUUUAGUUCUAUGUGACAUUCUAACUGUGAAGUUUGCUUUUACUGCAAUAAAAUACACAUAUUUAUAUUCAGCGAUGCCUCAUGUGUAAAACAGUACCCCCUAUGUACAGGUUUAUGGUGUUUUGGGAAGUUACAGGGUCAAAUAUAGCGUGUUACAUUUUUCAGUUUUUAACCCCUUAAGGACACAACUUUUGGAAUUAAAUGGAAUCAUGACGGAAUAUUAAUGUGAUGUGUCCUUAAGGGGUUAAACAUUGAAAAACGCCGCCCUAAGUGCUCAGUCAAGUGCCUGCUUGGCCUCAUGUCUUGGGGAGGCCAAGAGGUUGCCGGCCGGCCACCCUUUGAUCCUCCCGAGGCAUUUAGCUGGCUCAAAGUUUAGACGGGGGGGCGAGGGAGCGCAGUACUCUGAGCACUUCCUGCUCCCUCGCACAGCCUUGUAUGAUGCCAGGAGCCGGAAUAUGACAUCACUCCGGCCCCGGCGGUGCGCGAGGGAGCAGGAAGUGCUCAGCUCCCUUCAGACAGAUAGACCCUGACCGAUAGACAGACCACCUGCACAGUCACCCACCCAGACACCUCCCCACCGGGAACAUCCGCUGCUGGGACCAGGACCCCCUCCCCGCCCGCUCCUGCUGGUUCCGGGACCCCUCAAGCAGUCAUGGAAUGUACCCUGAGCGCGGAGGAGAGAGCUGCGCUGGAGAGAACCAAACAGACCUGCUACUGGGUGAGCUACCCCCAUCUACUCC
This 1551-nucleotide long non-coding RNA is filed under the name Pelobates cultripes (western spadefoot toad). The record is from RNAcentral. Lineage: Eukaryota; Metazoa; Chordata; Amphibia; Anura; Pelobatidae.